GGCAUUUUUAUUGCUGCUGUUGCAAUAAUUAUCACAGUUCAUGGAAACGUGACUCUCUUCUCCUCAGGUACUCGAUCAGUGAUCCCGACAGCACCCUCCUGGUCCUGCAAAGCUCGGGAGGGCGGGGGAGCCGGGGCCAAGUGAGCUGCAUCAGGCCCAUGCUCUGCUCAGAGCCUCUAUGUUGCCAAAACAGCCCCAGCGCCGCGGGACUAAUGCCCAGGAGUGGACGUGUCUAUGAGGAUGGAGGAAGAUGUUGCAGUCAGAGGUUGCACAAGUCACUGCCCCAAAGCAGGCUCGGCUUUCCAGGCUGGUGCUCGCCCGUUCCAGCGGAGCAGCUGCAGGAGGGAUCACCCCGAGAGCCCGGGCGUCGCGCCUGCCAGCCUCUGCCUAAUAGGCGCCUCGGAAGUGCACCCUGGGAGCCGUGCAUCCUUCCUGAGCAGCAGCUGUUUCUCUCCAGUGGUCGUUGCUUUGAAGUCGUACCUGUCCACAGAUUAAAGGUCCUUGGCAGAUGGUCCUGGGAAUGGCAAGGAACACGUAGCAAAGGUACAGAGUGACACCGACAGACAGAGACGCGUUUGGGAGGAGGCAACAGCACAGCAGUUUGGUUUCAGAAAAGACUCACUCUCCAUUUCCAGUCUCUGAACCAUAAAGUACCAGCUUUUCCAGAACAAUGAAUCACCCAGUCUGUGUAUAAAAUUAAAUAUAAUUUAUGCUUUGCUAAUUGAAAUCAAAUACAAAAUUCAAUUUCCUGUGUAUUCUAAUGCUGACAUUUGAAUAGUUUAAAAAAAAAGUGUUAUUAACCUGACUCUCAUUUGGCAGGCCACUCUCCGGCCAGAUAGAAAAUAAUUCCCCUGUCAAGCCCCUGCAUUAGCAUGGCAGACUCGGGAUGCAUUUCAGAAAAAGAGAAAACAGAAUAACCCCCCCGAGGCCCCCUGGGUGCCGCCCGUGCCCCCAGCCCGUGCCAGGGUGACUGACACAUCCCCGCUCCCUUCCCACCGGUGGCACCUGGGGGUCCCGGGAGCCCCGUCCCUCCGUGCCGGGUGGUCGGUGUCCGUGGGGCAGCUGCGCAGGGGAGGAAGAGCGGGGCCUCCUCUCCUCAUGGGCGCUCGGCGGCUCCUCCCAAACUGAUAUAAAAAAUAAACCUCUGAAUAUAUGGCAGAAAGAACGGGAGCGGGAGGUGGGGGCAGGCGGGUGAAGCAGGGGCAGGCCCAGCACCUCCCCGGCCCGGCCGUGUCUGUAAACCAUCGGGGGGUCCCUGGUGGGGCCCGGCUGCGCCCUGCUCCGGACCCCUGCCCCAGGCACCACUGGGCUUCCGACCACUGCAGGAUGGAUGCUCCAGCCCAGCCCAGCUGCACGCCCUGACUUCCCUAACGGCGUGCUCAUCGGGUUGUAAUUCUCAGACAAACACAUUUUUGAUGCCCUGUCCCUCCAGCGAGGGGCACGACAAGAAGAGUGGCAGGGCCGUGAGGGCAGUCAGGGACGGGACGAGCUGCCCCGGGGCAGCGCUCGCUCCUGGCCAGGCCAAGGCUGGAGCGGGCAGGGAGACCCUCUGGGAGGGGAUGGGGGGUCUCAGGGGCUCUUUCACGCUCAACUGCUCCUGGUUAAGCUGUGGGUGAAGACUGAGAGAAUCCAAGCUCUGGCCACGGAGGCGAUGGGCAGGGCCACACUGGUGGCCACAGCCAGCCUGCCGGCUCCUGGCCAUGCUGCGAGCUGGGAUGGCAUCCCCCCGGUGCCAAGCCCCUCCACAGGCACCCAGGGCCACCGGUCCUGCUUCUGCAGGCUCUGCUCAGCCCCAUCAGGGCCAGACCCCCGCGGUGUCGGGGCUGCAGCACGCUGGGAAUGGGCAAAAAUUUCUGGGUAUCCCUCCACGGAGGAGCCCGGACACUGGGUCUCGAUGAGCCCCUCGUCCUCCAACUGAAUCCAUCGAGCAGCUUGCACCAAACUGUAAUAACAGUUUUCACUUAGGAGCUGAUCUGAGAUUUUACUAACGUGUGAAACAUUGUAAAAUUAUUCCUAUUACAUACUUCCAAUUUUCAUGUAAUAAUUUGGGGAUUUGUGGGUCUGUGAAAAUCUGUGUUGUGUCGAGAGCUGUUUUUAAAUCUAAUCAGGCUAAUAGGAACUGACAUGACGUUAGCAGAGACCUUGCGGUGCCCCUCCAGCAUGGCCCAUGAUGUAAAUUUUCUAAAUGGCUUCAGCUCUUUUUUCAUCCAAUCCAAGGCACCAGCACCACUUCAUGGCAUAAUGAACCACACGACAGGCCAUGAAACCCAAAGCAGGUUCAGCUUGUUACCCAACGUAACAGUGAUUUCAUUUGGUUAGCUGGAUCAGUAGGGAUUUCUUGCCACCUUAAUCAAAACUGAGCCUUGGUCCUCCCAGAGAUCUCACACAGCAUCUCUGCUGCUUUCCGACAGGCGGGGACCUGCCCCCGGGUGGGCACUCGCACCAGCUCCGCUCCACCGGCACGCAGCCUUACCACUCACUGAAACAAAGAACACGGCCAGCAAGAUUUGAGUGCCCUUAGAAAUCACCCAUGCGGAGGGAGCAUUUCAGCAAGAGUAGCUCUGCAUUUUUCCUUUUGUUCCCUCGCUUACUGUUUUCCUCUCAGUAAUGGAGAUGGAAACAGGGCAGCUGUGCCGGAGUGCUGCUGGGCGGCUCCGCUGCUUCCCGCACGCAGCUCUCAUCGCACUGCUGGAGCUUCCAGGUGGGAUAGGGGUUUAUUCUACAGGUUCUACCAGGAUUUACAACUGUGGUCGAUGUGGUCAUUUCCACUAGAAAGCACACAUUCUUUGCGCAGAGCAGUGCUCACACUGGGAAUUAAUCACUUUUUUGUAAUUCUGAAGUAAAGAUGAAGGCUGCUCCCCAUUUUGCAAACCCGGCUCUCAACCCCACGCGGCAGAGCUCUUGUUCUCAAGGUGUGAAUGAAGGGCAGUGCCAGGGACCCCAAGGCUCAGUGCUGCCCAGACCCCCCGCUGGGGCUGUCCCCCCACCCUGCCCUGCAGUCACCCCCUCAGUUCCCUCCAAAGCACGAGCAGGGCACAGCGUGGCCUCGCCGGGAGGUGCUGCGUGGGCUCCACACUGUGCCUUGACGGCCUGGCCGGGCGGGGAGACCCCGGCUGGCUCCGAGCGGGCGCCUGGCACGGUCCUCAGCUUCCAGGAGGAGCCGGGGGUCUGCGGGAGGCCCCGGUUCCGAUCUCACUGAGCAUCCCAGCAAAGCAGGAAGGACUCUCUUCCAACAGUGGAGAUGACACACCCACCAGUUGGAGGAGAAUCGGGCCCAGGUGUUUUGUGGCACUUGGUAAAUACGAGUUUUAGUGCAACAGGUAAUUGAAACAUCUGGUGCAAAUGAAGUUUCUGUACAUAGUUCCUUUGCAGCAUAACUGGCUUUAUUCCUUCCACACACAAAUACCAGUGUGCAUCUGAAUGCACAUGUCCUGAAUUUACCAGAUCUGAUGCUGCUGUUUGGGCAAAACUAAAAGCCAGGGCAGGAGAAAUCACACCUAUGGGUUUGUCCCAGUGCUGCUGGGUUUUGCGAGCCACCCUGUGCCCAGAUGGCUGCGGCAGGAGGUGCUGGCCCUGCCUGCGGGGUUGUGUGGGGGACACCAGCAGCAAAGUGUCAAGAUGAAGCAUCCCAUCGCCCUGAGGAGCCCCGCUCCCUCUGCCUCCUCCUCCUCCUCCUCCCAC
RNAcentral lists this long non-coding RNA (3681 nucleotides) under Otus sunia (Oriental scops-owl). RNAcentral describes it as "lncRNA (ENSOSUG00000001210.1)". The record is from RNAcentral. Lineage: Eukaryota; Metazoa; Chordata; Aves; Strigiformes; Strigidae.